CCACCUUCGUCCUCCUCGACCACCUCGUCGCCGUGCUCUUCCUCCAUCAGCCCCUCGUCGACCACGUUGUCAUCGUCCACCUCGACCUCCUCCGAUCGCUGCCAAAUACCGCCAAACACCUACGUUGGGUGACUCAAAAGAAUCAGCUAGCCGAAUUCCUCAGUCUGGAAACAACCGCGCAGUAGAGCGGACGGAUGAGAAUCGCGCUCUGCAGAUUUCGAGUACCGAGUUUUCAACCUCCUGGAUUCUGUGCUUCGGGUCCGCGACCUGGUGUAACUCGACUUCCAGGACAAGCGCUCAGUAGUUACUACGCUCCAGGUCGGCUACCUGGUGAAACUCGACUUCCAGGACAAGCGCUCAGUAGUUCCUACGCUCCAGUUUUCCAGUUUUUCGUGGCGCUCCAUGGUUCCUGCGCUCCAGGCCCGCUACCUGGUGAAACCCGACUUCCAGGACAAGCGCUCCGUAGUUCUGGCUGUCCAGGUUCUCGACCUGGUGAUUUUUGACCUUCCGGCUUAAUUUUCAAGUUUACAAGUGUACAACCCGAGGUGGUUAUCGGUGGUUGUUCGAGGUGGUUGGCGAUUGUUGGAG
RNAcentral lists this long non-coding RNA (588 nucleotides) under Neodiprion lecontei (redheaded pine sawfly). Its description in RNAcentral is "uncharacterized LOC107219946, transcript variant X3". Lineage: Eukaryota; Metazoa; Arthropoda; Insecta; Hymenoptera; Diprionidae. The record is from RNAcentral.